Molecule: ribosomal RNA, 459 nt
Filed under: uncultured bacterium
Lineage: Bacteria
Description: partial 16S ribosomal RNA
Rfam family: Bacterial small subunit ribosomal RNA
Source: RNAcentral
CCUACGGGAGGCAGCAGUGAGGAAUAUUGGUCAAUGGACGAGAGUCUGAACCAGCCAAGUAGCGUGAAGGAUGACUGCCCUAUGGGUUGUAAACUUCUUUUAUAUGGGAAUAAAAUGUUCCACGUGUGGGAUUUUGUAUGUACCAUAUGAAUAAGGAUCGGCUAACUCCGUGCCAGCAGCCGCGGUAAUACGGAGGAUCCGAGCGUUAUCCGGAUUUAUUGGGUUUAAAGGGAGCGUAGGUGGAUUUUUAAGUCAGUUGUGAAAGUUUGCGGCUCAACCGUAAAACUGCAGUUGAAACUGGCAGUCUGGAGUAGAGUAGAGGUGGGCGGAAUUCGUGGUGUAGCGGUGAAAUGCUUAGAUAUCACGAAGAACUCCGAUUGCGAAGGCAGUUCACGGGACUGCAACUGACACUGAGGCUCGAAAGUGUGGGUAUCAAACAGGAUUAGAUACCCCAGUGUC